RNAcentral lists this ribosomal RNA (1131 nucleotides) under Bacteroides fragilis. RNAcentral's name for it is "bacterial SSU rRNA". It matches the Rfam family "Bacterial small subunit ribosomal RNA", at positions 1 to 1126 of the family's 1533-position model. Lineage: Bacteria; Pseudomonadati; Bacteroidota; Bacteroidia; Bacteroidales; Bacteroidaceae. The record is from RNAcentral.
ACAAUGAAGAGUUUGAUCCUGGCUCAGGAUGAACGCUAGCUACAGGCUUAACACAUGCAAGUCGAGGGGCAUCAGGAAGAAAGCUUGCUUUCUUUGCUGGCGACCGGCGCACGGGUGAGUAACACGUAUCCAACCUGCCCUUUACUCGGGGAUAGCCUUUCGAAAGAAAGAUUAAUACCCGAUAGCAUAAUGAUUCCGCAUGGUUUCAUUAUUAAAGGAUUCCGGUAAAGGAUGGGGAUGCGUUCCAUUAGGUUGUUGGUGAGGUAACGGCUCACCAAGCCUUCGAUGGAUAGGGGUUCUGAGAGGAAGGUCCCCCACAUUGGAACUGAGACACGGUCCAAACUCCUACGGGAGGCAGCAGUGAGGAAUAUUGGUCAAUGGGCGUUAGCCUGAACCAGCCAAGUAGCGUGAAGGAUGAAGGCUCUAUGGGUCGUAAACUUCUUUUAUAUAAGAAUAAAGUGCAGUAUGUAUACUGUUUUGUAUGUAUUAUAUGAAUAAGGAUCGGCUAACUCCGUGCCAGCAGCCGCGGUAAUACGGAGGAUCCGAGCGUUAUCCGGAUUUAUUGGGUUUAAAGGGAGCGUAGGUGGACUGGUAAGUCAGUUGUGAAAGUUUGCGGCUCAACCGUAAAAUUGCAGUUGAUACUGUCAGUCUUGAGUACAGUAGAGGUGGGCGGAAUUCGUGGUGUAGCGGUGAAAUGCUUAGAUAUCACGAAGAACUCCGAUUGCGAAGGCAGCUCACUGGACUGCAACUGACACUGAUGCUCGAAAGUGUGGGUAUCAAACAGGAUUAGAUACCCUGGUAGUCCACACAGUAAACGAUGAAUACUCGCUGUUUGCGAUAUACAGUAAGCGGCCAAGCGAAAGCAUUAAGUAUUCCACCUGGGGAGUACGCCGGCAACGGUGAAACUCAAAGGAAUUGACGGGGGCCCGCACAAGCGGAGGAACAUGUGGUUUAAUUCGAUGAUACGCGAGGAACCUUACCCGGGCUUAAAUUGCAGUGGAAUGAUGUGGAAACAUGUCAGUGAGCAAUCACCGCUGUGAAGGUGCUGCAUGGUUGUCGUCAGCUCGUGCCGUGAGGUGUCGGCUUAAGUGCCAUAACGAGCGCAACCCUUAUCUUUAGUUACUAACAGGU